This 296-nucleotide ribosomal RNA is filed under the name uncultured Staphylococcus sp. RNAcentral describes it as "partial 16S ribosomal RNA". It matches the Rfam family "Bacterial small subunit ribosomal RNA", at positions 399 to 688 of the family's 1533-position model. The record is from RNAcentral. Lineage: Bacteria; Bacillati; Bacillota; Bacilli; Caryophanales; Staphylococcaceae.
GCGUGAGUGAUGAGGGUUUCGGCUCGUAAAACUCUGUUAUUAGGGAAGAACAAAUGUGUAAGUAACUGUGCACGUCUUGACGGUACCUAAUCAGAAAGCCACGGCUAACUACGUGCCAGCAGCCGCGGUAAUACGUAGGUGGCAAGCGUUAUCCGGAAUUAUUGGGCGUAAAGCGCGCGUAGGCGGUUUCUUAAGUCUGAUGUGAAAGCCCACGGCUCAACCGUGGAGGGUCAUUGGAAACUGGGAAACUUGAGUGCAGAAGAGGAAAGUGGAAUUCCAUGUGUAGCGGUGAAAUA